RNAcentral lists this transfer-messenger RNA (370 nucleotides) under Stieleria neptunia. RNAcentral's name for it is "Planctomycetes bacterium Enr13 transfer-messenger RNA, SsrA". It matches the Rfam family "transfer-messenger RNA". From Rfam's summary of the family: Bacterial tmRNA, also known as 10Sa RNA or SsrA, is named for its dual tRNA and mRNA-like properties. Its role is to liberate the mRNA from a stalled ribosome. Lineage: Bacteria; Pseudomonadati; Planctomycetota; Planctomycetia; Pirellulales; Pirellulaceae. The record is from RNAcentral.
GGGGGCGACUUGGAUUCGACCGGAUGAUUGGAAGCGUAUGGUCGCGUGUCGUGGUUGAUCAGUUGGCCACGUAAAAAGCUGAUCACAAUUUUUAAUUGCAGAUGAAAAUCUCCAAUUGGCUGCCUAAUUACAGGCUGCCCGGACUGAUGGGGGCUGCCAGAGUCGCCUGAAAGUCCGUCACAAUUCUGGAUCGCCCACCGUCCUGCUCGAGACGCGGUGGGUUAAACAAGAUUCGAGCUAGCGAGCCACGUAGUUUGUCCAGCAGCGCCGUGGUAAGCGAAGCGAGUUUCGGCUCAUAACCGCAGGACUACACACGUAGACACCGUCGUGGACGCAUCGCGGGACGAGGGUUCAAUUCCCUCCGCCUCCA